Molecule: ribosomal RNA, 2313 nt
Filed under: Euglena deses
Lineage: Eukaryota; Euglenozoa; Euglenophyceae; Euglenales; Euglenaceae
Description: bacterial SSU rRNA
Rfam family: Eukaryotic small subunit ribosomal RNA
Source: RNAcentral
AUGCAAGUCUCAGCGCACAUGGUUCAACAGUGGGUCUGUGAAUGGCUCCUUACAUCAGCAGUCAUCUCCGCGAUAGAGUUGUUGGCACCACCUCCUGCCCAUCGGUGCCCAGUUGGACAUCCUCCAAAACCUUGUGGCUAAUACACGUUCGCUCCGGUCGGCCACGGUACACACUUGGGAACCUUUCCACGCUCCUCCCCGGUCAAACGGGGGUGUGGUGGUGGAUUGCACCCAGCCGGCACGAAGACCAGCGCCCCUCACCGGGCAGUGUGUUGUGGUUGACCCAGGCUGGUCCCUCCUGGGACGGUUGCACUGGCAGAGUUUCGGUGGCCCCGUCAAAACGGGUCACAGCCUCGGCUUGAUCGCACGAACUUCUGACCUAUCAGCCUGGACUGUGGUGCAGUGGACCACAGUGGCCUUGACGGGUAACGGAGAAUCAGGGUUCGAUUCCGGAGAGGGAGCCUGAGAGACGGCUACCACUACCAAGGUGGGCAGCAGGCGCGCAAAUUGCCCAAUGCAAGCAAAGUCUGCGAGGCAGCGACGAACUGCAGCAAUUCCACUGGUCUUCUUCACCAGUGGAACUUGGAAUGGAUGCAAUCCAAAGACAGUGAUGAGUAACAACUGGAGGGCAAGUCUGGUGCCAGCAGCUGCGGUAAUUCCAGCUCCAAGGGCGUAUACUAACAUUGCUGCGGUUAAAACGCUUGUAGUCUGCCACUGGGUUGCAGGUCUGCUGGGUGGCCGUGCCGUGACGCUGUGGGUCGGGCCGUGGUUCCUGCCGUGCACCCCUCGGGGCGUGCGGUGGGGCCGCGGUGCGUCCACGGUCGCGGUGCGGGCAAAACCCCCGGCGGUAUGCUCCUGCACCCGCCAAGUUUGCUCGCGAUGGUGAGAUCUGCUCCUGCCGAAAGCCCCCUUCACUGGGGGUCCCCAGCGGGUUCACCCCGAACGCAGGUGUGCGACAACCACAGGCGGACCGGCGCCCCCGUGCCCGGUACCCUUUGCAACCGCCCGUCCACCUCCGGAGUCCACCAUCACAGACACCGUGGAAAACUCAGUGUGCUCAAGGCGUCCACCACUCGGCUGGAUGCCCGUCCAUGGCAUGUCAUUGCACCGACCAAGCGCGGCAUUUUGGAGUUGUGCUGGCCUUGGCGCCCGCUCUGGGCAAUGUGGUGCGUGCACCGGCGUCCUGCCUCGCCAUCGGCCUGCCCCCCCGGUGUGUCCGCUCGCCCUCGGGUGGGCGGGUGCGCCGGGACCGGGCAACCGUACGGGGCAGCCGGCGUCCGGCCGUGCGCAUCGACCGAAUCCGAUGGGACCAGUCAGGGUGAAAGGUACUACCGCGCCAGAGGUGAAAUUCUUAGACCGCCGCAAGACCCACGGUGGCGAAGGCGCUUUGCAAGGCUGUGUUCGUCGAUCAAGAACGAGAGUCCGGGGAGCAAAGAUGAUCAGACACCGUCGUAGUCCGGCACCGUCAACCGUGCCAGCUCGGCCUCGGCUGGGAAAGUCCAUCGACCCAGCNCAGGGCCACGCCCCCUCCAACGAGAAAUCCAAGCCCAUGGGUUCCGGGGGGAGUACUGUCGCAAGGUUGAAACUUAAAGGAAUUGACGGAAUGGCACCACAAGNCGUGNAGUAUGCGGCUUAAUUUGACUCAACACGGGGAAUGUUACCAGGUCAGGACACUGCCAGGAUGGACAGACUGAGAGCUCUUUCUUGAUUCGGUGGACGGUGGUGCAUGGCCGCUCCUGAUUGGUGGAGUGAUUUGUCUGGUUGAUUCCGAUAACGAGUGAGACAUCUGCCUCCCACUAGCCUCGGGCUCGCAUUUGGUAGGGUCAUGGCCCGCGUGGCGCGGCCGCGUGAAGCCCCUCACGGGGUGGAGCGUGGACACGUGCCUGCGGGUCGCCCGAGAGCCCCGAGUCUCAAGCUUCUCUGAGGUGCUGUGUACGCUACCAAGUGCAUGCAUGCUAGAGCCAACAGCAGGUCUGUGAUGCUCCCAGAUGUCCUGGGCCGCACGCGCACUACAUUGACCCAGUGAAGGUGUCACCUCCCGCUGGCGCUCCCGUCCAGCCCUGCCCGGAAGUGGGUGGGAAACCCUGCAAGUCUGCGUCGUACUGGGGAUAGAUGAUUGCAACUGUCUGCCUUGAACGUGGAAUGCCUAGUAGGCGUGAGUCAUCAGCUCACACCGAUUGUGUCCCUGCCAUUUGUACACACCGCCCGUCGUUGCUACCGAUGGCGGCUGGAUAAAACCAUCCGGAGCUCCGGGCCGUGCCUCGUCGCGGCCAGCCGAAAUCGGGUGAUGUCCAGCUGCUAGAGGAAGCAAAA